Molecule: ribosomal RNA, 253 nt
Filed under: uncultured bacterium
Lineage: Bacteria
Description: partial 16S ribosomal RNA
Rfam family: Bacterial small subunit ribosomal RNA
Source: RNAcentral
UACGGGGGGAGCAAGCGUUGUUCGGAUUUACUGGGCGUAAAGGGCGCGUAGGCGGCACCGCAAGUCGACUGUGAAAUCUCCGGGCUUAACCCGGAAAGGUCAGCCGAUACUGCGGGGCUAGAGUGCAGAAGGGGCAACUGGAAUUCUCGGUGUAGAGGUGAAAUGCGUAGAUAUCGAGAGGAACACCUGCGGCGAAGGCGGGUUGCUGGGCUGACACUGACGCUGAUGCGCGAAAGCUAGGGGAGCGAACGGG